CUGUCAACAAGUUCUCUAGCGGCAGACAUCCCUUGCCUCUGUGCCGUCCCGAUGGACAUCAAGUUAGCUACCAGCUGAGAUCUACUGAUGGGCUGGGGUGAUGUUUGGGGUUGGAGGUGAUGUUUGGCGUUUGACGCGUCUUGGUGAUUGUAAAUGAAGUUGGGAUCGAUGAAUCAUUUCGAGGUGGAUGGUGUUUUGAAUUGUGCUGGUAAUGAGGCGAGGGGUUUAGUUAUUUAAGAGAGUUGUUGUUGGAGUCUUCUAGAAACAGGAGAUUUGCUAGUGAGUCAAAAAGACAUCUAGAAUCAGCUGGAGGAUCUAACAUAUACUUCAGAAGCCUAAGUGAAAUCAUAAAGAUACCUGAAUCACUUGUAUUGAAACAAUGUUAUGAGUUGUCUGACAAUGAGUUUAAAGAGGGUGUCCUGCUUUGGGAGAUUUUCUGGAAAUCUGCUGGUAGGUCAAGACGUCAUCUGGGAUCUGCUAAGAAGACUUAAGUUGCUCUAGAGCAUUUUAAAUUAUCGAUCUCAGCUGACGCAGCUUGUACAAAUGAGGAAGAUGGUUAGGAGAUUUAUUAUCUGAGGAGUCAGAAUCUUUGUCAGAUUUCGAAGAAACUGUCAGGAACAGACUCAUCCUGAAGAAGAAUCCAUUUGUUCAAAGGUUUCCUCAUUCUUUAACAACACAGAAUCUACAUUAGAUACCGAAAUAACUACCAAGAAUCUUUACAAAUGACAUGGAAUACAUGUUAACUAGUAUAAUACAAAUGAGAAAGAAGAUUUCAGAGAUACAUUGAAGAUCUGUUCUUCGAACAGCUACCUAUAAUCUUCGUUAAGCAAUUGUCAUGUAGAAACUGAAAGCACCAGACUCAUCCUGAAGAAGAAUCUGCUUCGACGAAAGUUUCCUCAUUCCUCGAGAACAUACAGAUUACAUUAAAUUCCAGAGGAUUGAGUAAGUAGUGCAUACAGAUGGAAAAGAGGAUUUCAAAGAUCAUUUAUUGCUCUGUACUCUUUCUCAAGUUUAUGAGACUAUCACUAAGUAGCAACUGGAAGGACCAAAUUCUUCUUGUAGGAAAGUCUAUGAUAAUGGUAGAUAAUAGAAGAUCCAUCGUUUUUCAGGCACAAUAUCUACCCUUAAUUCUGCAACAAUUACUGAUCCUUAUCAAGCAUACAGAAUGUACAAGUAACAAAGAGGAUUUCAAAGAUACUUCAAAACAACCCAACCAAGAAAGAUAAUCUAAGUCCUUGCAUUUAAGAGGCAAUUCACAGUCACCAUUUGAUUUCACAUAGCAAAAUUAUAAAAUUCAAUAUUCAAUAUCAAAUUUGGUAUAACAUAAUUAUAUAUGAAAUAUUAAAAUAAAACAGCCCCAUCCCUCGAUUCGUAUAUUAUCACUGUAAAAAACGUAAUCAAUGUUUCACUAGGAAAUUAGCAACAUAUCUAACGAGAAAACUUUCAAGUGCAAAUGGUUAAAACAAUCCAACCAGCAAAGGUACUUUAAAAUAAUCCAACCAAUAACGAUACUUUAGAACUACUAAAUCAACUAUCUGUCCAUAAUUAUUCCAAUUAUAUCUGUCCAUCUACUAAUCAAUAGCAACUGGAAGGUAUCAGUCUCAUCUCAAAGACACAAAUGUCCAAGCAAGCAAGCAGGUAACGCGUAUAAGGUCCAAGAUUCCAAAGAUACCGCGACUUUCUUCUCGACCAGUUCGAAAGGCGCCCAGGCUGGACCUGUUAGAGUGU
Nomia melanderi (Alkali bee) is the source of this 1728-nucleotide non-coding RNA. Lineage: Eukaryota; Metazoa; Arthropoda; Insecta; Hymenoptera; Halictidae. The record is from RefSeq and is a predicted model, not a curated record.